UUAUAGGUAGGGGAGCGUUCCGUUCUCGGGUGAAGUUUUCACGUAAGUGGGGAUGGACGGUACGGAAGUGAGAAUGUUGGCUUGAGUAACGAAAACAUUGGUGAGAAUCCAAUGCCCCGAAAACCUAAGGGUUCCUCCACUAGGUUCGUCCAUGGGGGGUUAGUCAGGACCUAAGGCUAGGCAAGUACAUAAUUUGCGUCGUCGAUGGCAAACAGGUUAAUAUUCCUGUACUAAUUAAAUUAGGAUCUGAGGGACGAAGGAGGCUAAGCUGGAACUGUUUUUGGAUUGCAGUGGAAGCGUUUAGACGUUGAGAGAUCGAACAAAAACGAUCUUGAGUGGAGACGUAAUCCCUACUUAUUGGUUCGCCAAAAAGUAGCUAGUGAUGUCAUACUUCCAAGAAAAGCUCAUACAUCUUUAUAAUUUAAUUACCUGUACCUGAAACCGACACAGGUAGGUUGGUAGAGAAUACCAAGGGGCGCGAGAGAACUCUCUCUAAGGAACUCGGCAAACUGGCCCCGUAACUUCGGAAGAAGGGGCGCCCAGGAUUUACUUCUUGGGUCGCAGUGACCAGGCUCAGGCGACUGUUUACCAAAAACACAGGUCUCCGCAAAGUCGUAAGACAAUAUAUGGGGGCUGACGCCUGCCCAGUGCCGGAAGGUUAAGGAAGUUGGUUACCGUUGAGGGAAGCUGACGACCGAAGCCCCGGUGAACGGCGGUCGUAACUAUAACGAUCCUAAGGUAGCGAAAUUCAUUGUCGAGUAAGUUUCGACCUGCACGAAAGGCGUAACGAUCUGAGCGCUGUCUCAGAGAGAGGCUCGGUGAAAUAGACUUGUCCCGUGAAGAUGCGGACUACCUACACCUGGACAGAAAGACCCUAUGAAGCUUGACUGUAUCUUGGAAUUGGGUUCGGGCUUUUCUUGCGCAGCCUAGGUGGGAGGCGUUGAAGAUUACCUUCCGGGGUAGUUGGAGCCAUCAGUGAGAGACCACUCUGGAAGAGCUAGAAUCCUAAUGGGGAUCCUUGAAUCAGGACCCUUGACAGUUUCAGGUGGGCAGUUUAUUUGGGGCGAAUACCUCCUAAAAGGUAACGGAGGUGUGCAAAGGUUCCCUCAGUCUGGACGGAAAUCAGACAUUGAGUGUAAAGGCAAAAGGGAGCUUGACUGCAAGACCUACAAGUCGAGCAGGGGCGAAAGCCGGCCUUAGUGAUCCGACGGUGCCGAGUGGAAGGGCCGUCGCUCAACGGAUAAAAGUUACUCUAGGGAUAACAGGCUGAUCUUCCCCAAGAGUUCACAUCGACGGGAAGGUUUGGCACCUCGAUGUCGGCUCAUCACAUCCUCGGUCUGUAGUAGGUCCGAAGGGUUGGGCUGUUCGCCCAUUAAAGUGGUACGUGAGCUGGGUUCAAAACGU
This 1404-nucleotide ribosomal RNA is filed under the name Chlamydomonas sphaeroides. Its description in RNAcentral is "LSU rRNA". It matches the Rfam family "Bacterial large subunit ribosomal RNA", at positions 1222 to 2619 of the family's 2925-position model. Lineage: Eukaryota; Viridiplantae; Chlorophyta; Chlorophyceae; Chlamydomonadales; Chlamydomonadaceae. The record is from RNAcentral.